GACGAACGCUGGCGGCGUGCUUAACACAUGCAAGUCGAACGGAAAGGCCCUGCUUUUGUGGGGUGCUCGAGUGGCGAACGGGUGAGUAACACGUGAGUAACCUGCCCUUGACUUUGGGAUAACUUCAGGAAACUGGGGCUAAUACCGGAUAGGAGCUCCUGCUGCAUGGUGGGGGUUGGAAAGUUUCGGCGGUUGGGGAUGGACUCGCGGCUUAUCAGCUUGUUGGUGGGGUAGUGGCUUACCAAGGCUUUGACGGGUAGCCGGCCUGAGAGGGUGACCGGCCACAUUGGGACUGAGAUACGGCCCAGACUCCUACGGGAGGCAGCAGUGGGGAAUAUUGCACAAUGGGCGGAAGCCUGAUGCAGCAACGCCGCGUGCGGUAUGACGGCCUUCGGGUUGUAAACCUCUUUCGCCUGUGACGAAGCGUGAGUGACGGUAAUGGGUAAAGAAUCACCGGCUAACUACGUG
This 468-nucleotide ribosomal RNA is filed under the name uncultured bacterium. RNAcentral's name for it is "partial 16S ribosomal RNA". It matches the Rfam family "Bacterial small subunit ribosomal RNA", at positions 28 to 507 of the family's 1533-position model. The record is from RNAcentral.